This 662-nucleotide small RNA is filed under the name Pongo abelii (Sumatran orangutan). Its description in RNAcentral is "retained intron". Lineage: Eukaryota; Metazoa; Chordata; Mammalia; Primates; Hominidae. The record is from RNAcentral.
CCCUUCCCCCACUAUCCUCUCCACCCGCUCCUAGGGGCUGGAGUCUGGAAAACCACGCGGGAGGAGGUUGUGGGGAUAUGGACGAGCAUCCGAGGCCCCCGGUUACAGACGUUCCACGUUCCGUCUCCCUGUGCCAGCCCUCAGGACCUGAGCAGCGGCCUUGCCGUAGCCUAUGUGCUAAACCAGAUGUGAGUGGAGCUGAGGGGGAGGAUCCCAAAAGUGUCCCCCAGUCUGCUCAUCCCACCUUCUCGCCCCCAGAGACCCCUCCUGGUUCAACGAGGCAUGGCUCCAGGGCAUCUCGGAAGAUCCAGGUCCCAACUGGAAGCUGAAGGUGACAAGUGGACUCCUGAUUAGAGGACAGACUGGUGAAGAGAUGACCAGGGACGGGCCAGCUAGGCACAUGUCCUGGGUGAUGGGCAGGAAGAGGGACAGAUGUCUGGUGAUCAACCAUUUGUUCAUCCAUUCAUCUAUGGAGUACUCACCCUGUGCCAGGCCUGGGCAUUCAGCAAGGAAUAACACAGACAAAAACCUGCCCCAUACAGCCAUCAUUCUAGUGACAAGCAACACAUACACAACCAUAAAAAAACUUCCAGGCUGGGUGCAGUGGCUCAUGCCUGUAAUCCCAACACUUUGAGAGGCUAAAGUGGGUGGAUCACUUGGAG